Molecule: ribosomal RNA, 253 nt
Filed under: uncultured bacterium
Lineage: Bacteria
Description: partial 16S ribosomal RNA
Rfam family: Bacterial small subunit ribosomal RNA
Source: RNAcentral
UACGAAGGGGGCUAGCGUUGUUCGGAAUUACUGGGCGUAAAGCGCACGUAGGCGGGUUGUUAAGUCAGGGGUGAAAUCCCGGAGCUCAACUCCGGAACUGCCUUUGAUACUGGCAACCUGGAGGCUGGAAGAGGUUAGUGGAAUUCCCAGUGUAGAGGUGAAAUUCGUAGAUAUUGGGAAGAACACCAGUGGCGAAGGCGGCUAACUGGUCCAGUACUGACGCUGAGGUGCGAAAGCGUGGGGAGCAAACAGG